CUUUUCUUCCUUUCUUUUUCUCUUUCUUUCUUUCUUUCUUUUUUUCUCUGUUUCUUCUUUUCGUUCUUUUUUCUUUUUUAUCUGAAAAACUGAGUUUUUAUUAAAGGGAUAAUUUUUAAAAUCUCACUAAAGAUUUUUGUAGUAAGAAUGGGGUACAUCUCAGUUGCUACACAUACUAGCAAGAAGUGAGUGUGAAAAGAUCUGCCUUUGAUUAUCUCGUCAGAUUAAUAUACUUUAAAACAGCUCUUAGGUUUGUUUUUCUUCCUCUGAGUAAUUAUAGGUUGAAACUUUAAUUUCAACCUGAUAUAGUGUGGCUGUAUAGAAUGAAAUGGCAUUUUGA
Molecule: long non-coding RNA, 340 nt
Filed under: Homo sapiens (human)
Lineage: Eukaryota; Metazoa; Chordata; Mammalia; Primates; Hominidae
Description: HSALNT0124846
Source: RNAcentral